RNAcentral lists this RNase P RNA (371 nucleotides) under Salinibacterium xinjiangense. RNAcentral's name for it is "Bacterial RNase P class A". It matches the Rfam family "Bacterial RNase P class A". Rfam says of the family: Ribonuclease P (RNase P) is a ubiquitous endoribonuclease, found in archaea, bacteria and eukarya as well as chloroplasts and mitochondria. Lineage: Bacteria; Bacillati; Actinomycetota; Actinomycetes; Micrococcales; Microbacteriaceae. The record is from Rfam by way of RNAcentral.
UGGGUCGGCAAGACGGCCGCGUGGGGCAGCAAUGCCUCCCGAGGAACGUCCGGGCUCCGCAGAGCAUGGCGGUGGGUAACACCCACCCGGGGUAACCCGCGAGAUAGUGCAACAGAAAGCAGACCGCCACUGUGUGUUUCUACACACGGGGGUAAGGGUGAAACGGUGGUGUAAGAGACCACCAGCGGCCGGGGUGACCCGGUCGGCUAUGUAAACCUCGCCAGGAGCAAGGUCAGACAGGAAGCGUUCAAGGCUGCUCGCCCAGCUUCCGGGUAGACCGCUAGAGGCGUGCGGCAACGUACGUCGUAGAUAGAUGGCCGUCCAUCGCCCUCGGGCGAAGACAGAACCCGGCGUAUCAGCCGGCCCAUUCC